Long non-coding RNA from Macrobrachium nipponense, 621 nucleotides. RefSeq lists it as uncharacterized. The transcript is spliced from 2 exons. The record is from RefSeq and is a predicted model, not a curated record. Lineage: Eukaryota; Metazoa; Arthropoda; Malacostraca; Decapoda; Palaemonidae.
AUUCUGAGAGGAGCGUUCAUUUGGGGACGGAUUGCAUCACGAAAGCGUCCCUUAAGGACAGAUAAAAAACGACAAUAAAUCGAGUCUAAAGAUUGAGAAACUGGGGAAUUACGUCGGGUCGCGGCGUAAGAGUAGUACUAGCAGGAGGCGGGGCAGAACUUCAUCACUAUAAAGCAAGGACGUAGGACUCCUGCGCUUCAUUCGGAGAGCCGCCAAGUUACUUAGAGUUGAUCUUCGCCAGGAGAAAAAUAGCAGCAUCAUGGUGAAACAGAGCACCUGGAUCAUCUUCGGACUUCUCCUCCUCUGCCAAGUCCUGCUGACCUUUGCCCACCAUCAUUACGGGCAGGGAGGGGGACAUCACGACGAUCACGCGGACGAUGGCUACGAAGGGCAUGAACAAGACGAAGGUAACGGCGGUCCUGGGUUUGACAAUGGAGAUGAUCACCAUUAGUACUAAUAGAACUGAGAAGUCUCCAGACGACUGAACAUAUCCUUUGGCGCCAACUUUGUCUCUUCGUCUUCUCCUUCUUCUGUUUUUCUUCCAAGUCGAAUGAAUUUUAAAGCUAAUUUUUUAUCUUGAUCUAUUUUCGAAUAAAAAGUUAAAUAAAAAAACUCACUCCA